AGCGAACGCUGGCGGCAGGCUUAACACAUGCAAGUCGAGCGGGCGUAGCAAUACGUCAGCGGCAGACGGGUGAGUAACGCGUGGGAACAUACCUUUUGGUUCGGAACAACACAGGGAAACUUGUGCUAAUACCGGAUAAGCCCUUACGGGGAAAGAUUUAUCGCCGAAAGAUUGGCCCGCGUCUGAUUAGCUAGUUGGGUGGAGGUAACGGCUCACCAAGGCGACGAUCAGUAGCUGGCUGAGAGGAUGAUCAGCCACAUUGGGACUGA
Molecule: ribosomal RNA, 269 nt
Filed under: uncultured bacterium
Lineage: Bacteria
Description: partial 16S ribosomal RNA
Rfam family: Bacterial small subunit ribosomal RNA
Source: RNAcentral